This 440-nucleotide ribosomal RNA is filed under the name uncultured bacterium. Its description in RNAcentral is "bacterial SSU rRNA". It matches the Rfam family "Bacterial small subunit ribosomal RNA", at positions 338 to 793 of the family's 1533-position model. The record is from RNAcentral.
CCUACGGGAGGCAGCAGUGGGGAAUAUUGCGCAAUGGGCGAAAGCCUGACGCAGCGACGCCGCGUGUGGGAUGACGGCCUUCGGGUUGUAAACCACUGUCGGGAGGGACGAAGAUCUGACGGUACCUCCAAAGGAAGCACCGGCUAACUCUGUGCCAGCAGCCGCGGUAAUACAGAGGGUGCGAGCGUUGUCCGGAAUCACUGGGCGUAAAGGGCGCGUAGGCGGCCCGAUAAGUAGGGGGUGAAAUCUUGCGGCUCAACCGCAAGGCUGCCUUCUAAACUGUCGGGCUGGAGCACGGUAGAGGCAGAUGGAAUUCCCGGUGUAGCGGUGGAAUGCGUAGAGAUCGGGAAGAACACCAGUGGCGAAGGCGGUCUGCUGGGCCGUUGCUGACGCUGAGGCGCGACAGCGUGGGGAGCAAACAGGAUUAGAUACCCGGGUAG